CAGGACGAACGCUGGCGGCGUGCCUAAUACAUGCAAGUCGAACGGUCUUUCUAUGGAAGCUUGCUUCACUGAGAAGAUAGUGGCGAACGGGUGAGUAACACGUGGGUAACCUGCCCAUAAGAGGGGGGAUAACAUCCGGAAACGGGUGCUAAUACCGCAUAGUUUUCUUGAUCGCAUGAUUGAGAAAGGAAAGACGGCCUUUGUGCUGUCGCUUAUGGAUGGACCCGCGGCGUAUUAGUUAGUUGGUGAGGUAACGGCUCACCAAGACGAUGAUACGUAGCCGACCUGAGAGGGUGAUCGGCCACAUUGGGACUGAGACACGGCCCAAACUCCUACGGGAGGCAGCAGUAGGGAAUCUUCCGCAAUGGACGAAAGUCUGACGGAGCAACGCCGCGUGAGUGAAAGAAGGUUUUCGGAUCGUAAAACUCUGUUGUCAGAGAAGAACAAGUUGGAGAGUAACUGCUCCAGCCUCGACGGUAUCCGACCAGAAAGCCACGGCUAACUACGUGCCAGCCGCUGC
This 520-nucleotide ribosomal RNA is filed under the name uncultured bacterium. RNAcentral's name for it is "bacterial SSU rRNA". It matches the Rfam family "Bacterial small subunit ribosomal RNA", at positions 25 to 518 of the family's 1533-position model. The record is from RNAcentral.